GCCUUCGUGAUGUAAUGGUUAGCACACUCGACUCGUAUUCGAGAGAUCCGCGGUUCGACUCCCUGAGGCA
Molecule: non-coding RNA, 70 nt
Organism: Stegodyphus mimosarum
Lineage: Eukaryota; Metazoa; Arthropoda; Arachnida; Araneae; Eresidae
Source: Rfam